Molecule: ribosomal RNA, 362 nt
Filed under: uncultured bacterium
Lineage: Bacteria
Description: bacterial SSU rRNA
Rfam family: Bacterial small subunit ribosomal RNA
Source: RNAcentral
AACGAACGCUGGCGGCAGGCCUCAAGCAUGCAAGUCUAGGGGGUGUAGCAAUACAUCACCGGCGGACGGGUGCGUAACACGUGGGAAUAUACCUUUUGGUUCGGAACAACGCAGGGAAACUUGCGCUAAUACCGAAUGUGCCCUUACGGGGAAAGAUUUAUCGCCAAAGGAUUAGCCCGCGUAGGAUUAGCUAGUUGGUGAGGUAAUGGCUCACCAAGGCUCCGAUCCUUAGCUGUUCUGAGAGGAAGAUCAGCCACACUGGGACUGAGACACGGCCCAGACUCCUACGGGAGGCAGCAGUUGGGAAUCUUGGACAAUGGGGGAAACCCUGAUCCAGCCAUGCCGCGUGAGUGAUGAAGGCC